AUUGACGUGAGUGGCGGACGGGUGAGUAACACGUGGGUAACCUGCCCUUAAGCGGGGGAUAACAUUUGGAAACAGAUGCUAAUACCGCAUAAAAGUUGAGAUCACAUGGUCUUAAUUUGAAAGACGGCCUUUGGCUGUCACUUAAGGAUGGACCCGCGGCGUAUUAGCUAGUUGGUGAGAUAAUAGCCCACCAAGGCGAUGAUACGCAGCCGACCUGAGAGGGUAAUCGGCCACAUUGGGUACUGAGACACGGCCCAAACUCCUACGGGAGGCACCUGUAGGGAAUCUUCCACUAUGGACGAAAGUCUGAUGGAGCAACGCCGCGUGAGUGAAGAAGGUUUUCGGAUCGUAAAACUCUGUUGUUGGAGAAGAACAGGGACUAGAGUAACUGUUAGUCCUUUGACGGUAUCCAACCAGAAAGCCACGGCUAACUACGUGCCAGCAGCCGCGGUAAUACGUAGGUGGCAAGCGUUGUCCGGAUUUAUUGGGCGUAAAGCGAGCGCAGGCGGUUUCUUAAGUCUGAUGUGAAAGCCUUCGGCUUAACCGAAGAAGUGCAUCAGAUACUGGGAAACUUGAGUGCAGAAGAGGAAAGUGGAACUCCAUGUGUAGCGGUGAAAUGCGUAGAUAUAUGGAAGAACACCAGUGGCGAAGGCGGCUUUCUGGUCUGUAACUGACGCUGAGGCUCGAAAGUAUGGGGAGCGAACAGGAUUAGAUACCCUGGUAGUCCAUACCGUAAACGAUGAAUGCUAAGUGUUGGAGGGUUUCCGCCCUUCAGUGCUGCAGCUAACGCAUUAAGCAUUCCGCCUGGGGAGUACGACCGCAAGGUUGAAACUCAAAGGAAUUGACGGGGGCCCGCACAAGCGGUGGAGCAUGUGGUUUAAUUCGAAGCUACGCGAAGAACCUUACCAGGUCUUGACAUCUAGCGCCAAUCCUAGAGAUAGGACGUUCCCUUCGGGGACGCUAAGACAGGUGGUGCAUGGUUGUCGUCAGCUCGUGUAGUGAGAUGUUGGGUUAAGUCCCGCAACGAGCGCAACCCUUAUGAUUAGUUGCCAGCAUUUAGUUGGGCACUCAAAUCAGACUGCCGGUGACAAACCGGAGGAAGGUGGGG
Molecule: ribosomal RNA, 1108 nt
Filed under: uncultured bacterium
Lineage: Bacteria
Description: bacterial SSU rRNA
Rfam family: Bacterial small subunit ribosomal RNA
Source: RNAcentral